GUACUUCGGUACAUUUGGUCAAUUUGAAACAAUACAGAGAGUACGUUUGACCCCAACUACCUGAGUUCGAUCCUGACUAACAACUUCGCAGAGAUUAGCAUGGCGUAAGUCUGGCGAUUUCGAAGUAUUACGACACACACUGACACUUACACAGCCCUGCACUAAGGAUGACACAUGCAAACAAAGCAGAGCAAACCAUUUUU
This 203-nucleotide small nuclear RNA is filed under the name Zymoseptoria tritici IPO323. The record is from RNAcentral. Lineage: Eukaryota; Fungi; Ascomycota; Dothideomycetes; Mycosphaerellales; Mycosphaerellaceae.